CGGCCGGCGCACGGGUGAGUAACGCGUAUCCAACCUGCCCACCACUUGGGGAUAACCUUGCGAAAGUAAGACUAAUACCCAAUGAUAUCUCUAGAAGACAUCUGAAAGAGAUUAAAGAUUUAUCGGUGAUGGAUGGGGAUGCGUCUGAUUAGCUUGUUGGCGGGGUAACGGCCCACCAAGGCAACGAUCAGUAGGGGUUCUGAGAGGAAGGUCCCCCACAUUGGAACUGAGACACGGUCCAA
RNAcentral lists this ribosomal RNA (242 nucleotides) under uncultured bacterium. RNAcentral describes it as "partial 16S ribosomal RNA". It matches the Rfam family "Bacterial small subunit ribosomal RNA", at positions 92 to 334 of the family's 1533-position model. The record is from RNAcentral.